Molecule: ribosomal RNA, 669 nt
Filed under: uncultured bacterium
Lineage: Bacteria
Description: bacterial SSU rRNA
Rfam family: Bacterial small subunit ribosomal RNA
Source: RNAcentral
ACGGGCGGUGAGUGCAACUGACGCUGAGGCUCGAAAGUGUGGGUAUCAAACAGGAUUAGAUACCCUGGUAGUCCACACAGUAAACGAUGAAUACUCGCGGUUGGUUCGUUAGAGUCAGCCGCCAAGCGAAAGCGUUAAGUAUUCCACCUGGGGAGUACGCCGGCAACGGUGAAACUCAAAGGAAUUGACGGGGGCCCGCACAAGCGGAGGAACAUGUGGUUUAAUUCGAUGAUACGCGAGGAACCUUACCCGGGCUUGAACUGCCAGUGACUCAUGCAGAGACGCAUGUUUCUUCGGACACUGGCGGAGGUGCUGCAUGGUUGUCGUCAGCUCGUGCCGUGAGGUGUCGGCUUAAGUGCCAUAACGAGCGCAACCCUUCUCCCUGUUUGCCAUCGGGUUAAGCCGGGCACUCCAGGGACACUGCCAUCGUAAGAUGUGAGGAAGGUGGGGAUGACGUCAAAUCAGCACGGCCCUUACGUCCGGGGCUACACACGUGUUACAAUGGGCGGUACAGAAAGCAGCUACCCCGCGAGGGGAUGCCAAUCUCAAAAACCGUUCUCAGUUCGGACUGGAGUCUGCAACCCGACUCCACGAAGCUGGAUUCGCUAGUAAUCGCGCAUCAGCCAUGGCGCGGUGAAUACGUUCCCGGGCCUUGCACACACCGCCCGU